AGGUCAACCGGCAUUCCGCGCUCACUCGUAAUGAGAAGGUCGCGAGUUCGAUUCUCGCAGGCGGCUCCA
Molecule: transfer RNA, 69 nt
Filed under: Corynebacterium doosanense CAU 212 = DSM 45436
Lineage: Bacteria; Bacillati; Actinomycetota; Actinomycetes; Mycobacteriales; Corynebacteriaceae
Description: tRNA-Thr (CGT) (tRNA-Thr-CGT-2-1)
Source: RNAcentral